This 363-nucleotide ribosomal RNA is filed under the name uncultured bacterium. RNAcentral's name for it is "bacterial SSU rRNA". It matches the Rfam family "Bacterial small subunit ribosomal RNA", at positions 72 to 422 of the family's 1533-position model. The record is from RNAcentral.
AAGGGGCUUCGGCCCUGAGUAGAGUGGCGAACGGGUGAGUAACACGUGGGUGACCUACCCUCGAGUGGGGGAUAACAUCCCGAAAGGGGUGCUAAUACCGCAUGACAUCCUGCCUUUGAACAGGCGGAUAUUAAAGCCGGGGAUCGCAAGACCUGGCACUCGGAGAGGGGCCCGCGCCUGAUUAGCUAGUUGGUGGGGUAAUGGCCUACCAAGGCAACGAUCAGUAUCCGGCCUGAGAGGGCGGACGGACACACUGGGACUGAGACACGGCCCAGACUCCUACGGGAGGCAGCAGUGGGGAAUUGUUCGCAAUGGGCGCAAGCCUGACGACGCAACGCCGCGUGGAGGAUGAAGAUUUUCGGA